Molecule: unclassified non-coding RNA, 320 nt
Filed under: uncultured fungus
Lineage: Eukaryota; Fungi
Description: partial contains small subunit ribosomal RNA, internal transcribed spacer 1, and 5.8S ribosomal RNA
Rfam family: Eukaryotic small subunit ribosomal RNA (bases 1-73)
Source: RNAcentral
GCAAACUUGGUCAUUUAGAGGAAGUAAAAGUCGUAACAAGGUUUCCGUAGGUGAACCUGCGGAAGGAUCAUUACAAAAUAUAUUUGUAAACCCUUCGUGCGCGCAUUAGCGUGUGCGAAACCACUCUGUGUGAAUAGUACACACGUAUACUUUGGCAGGUUUUGAGUUUUUACGAGCUCUUGACCUUUAAUGGAGACCUGCCAAAGUCCAUUACUUGAUAAACCUUUUUAUAUGUGAAAUUUUAAAUACUACAUAUAUAAAAAUAUAAUACAACUUUCAGCAACGGAUCUCUUGGCUCUCGCAUCGAUGAAGAACGCAGC